UCUCCUGGAAACGGGUGGUAAUGCCGGAUGCUCCAGUUGAUUGCAUGGUCUUCUGGGAAAGCUUUCGCGGUAUGGGAUGGGGUCGCGUCCUAUCAGCUUGACGGCGGGGUAACGGCCCACCGUGGCUUCGACGGGUAGCCGGCCUGAGAGGGCGACCGGCCACAUUGGGACUGAGAUACGGCCCAGACUCCUACGGGAGGCAGCAGUGGGGAAUAUUGCACAAUGGGCGCAAGCCUGAUGCAGCGACGCCGCGUGAGGGAUGGAGGCCUUCGGGUUGUAAACCUCUUUUAUCGGGGAGCAAGCGAGAGUGAGUUUACCCGUUGAAUAAGCACCGGCUAACUACGUGCCAGCAGCCGCGGUAAUACGUAGGGUGCAAGCGUUAUCCGGAAUUAUUGGGCGUAAAGGGCUCGUAGGCGGUUCGUCGCGUCCGGUGUGAAAGUCCAUCGCUUAACGGUGGAUCCGCGCCGGGUACGGGCGGGCUUGAGUGCGGUAGGGGAGACUGGAAUUCCCGGUGUAACGGUGGAAUGUGUAGAUAUC
Molecule: ribosomal RNA, 537 nt
Filed under: Bifidobacterium longum subsp. infantis
Lineage: Bacteria; Bacillati; Actinomycetota; Actinomycetes; Bifidobacteriales; Bifidobacteriaceae
Description: bacterial SSU rRNA
Rfam family: Bacterial small subunit ribosomal RNA
Source: RNAcentral